This is a long non-coding RNA of Lolium perenne, 2337 nucleotides long. RefSeq lists it as uncharacterized. NCBI's taxonomy places the organism in Eukaryota, Viridiplantae, Streptophyta, Magnoliopsida, Poales, Poaceae. The record is from RefSeq and is a predicted model, not a curated record.
UUAGUAAUUCUUCCUCUUGUAACCGCAGGGGAAAAAAAUGAACUGGAGUCAGACUUCAGAAGGUUCUGGGAAGAAUUCCGCUCUUCCAGCUCUGAAAAGGUCAUCAGUUUAUACAGAGAAGACCCGGAGCAUAGAGAAAGAGAGACAGACAGUUGGAGAGUACCAUGGCUGUUCAAUUCUUCUCGUAGUUCAGGAGGGCGCCACUGAUGCCAUUGACAACAUCAUGUGCAAACUGAAUAUGGAGAGCAACGCAGCCUCCCGCCUUGACAGUGUUUGCCGACUACAACUUAAAUGAAUCAUCCUCCACUAAUGAGCUGGGGGCGUCAAAUCCAAGUGUUCUAUCAUUACUUGUUUAAUUCUGUCUAUGGGUCAUUGCUCUGAGAGAUUACAGGAACAUUGAGCUUAAACUUGUGCUUUCGGGACAAAGGAUUGCUGAAUUUGAUGCUAAACUUGUGCAUGAUGAUGGGAUGACGUAAAGGCAUUUUAUGAGGUGGACUGAACUACUUUGAGAUAUAUUGAUAACACUUCACACACAAAAUGAAAGGAAUGGCAGGCAGAUUUAAAUAAAACAAUGUUUGAUGCUGAAUUGACUAAUGAACAGCUAUUGAAAAAACGUGAUGACAGAAUUUGUGAAGCUGAUUGGAAGGACCUUAUUAAAUAUUGGAGAUCUCCUCAAUUUGAAGACAUGAGUUGGGGAAGCUGAUGUUGGGCCAGGGUUUGGUGGUGCUGAGCGGUCAGGUGCAGGCUAUACUACUGCCGGUUUUUAACACGUAGAUGGAAUGAAGAUAUGUCUACAGCGAUCUGACUUGUGACGUCCCUUGAAAAUUGUUUUGGAGACGGCAGGUUGAAAUCUGGAUUCACGAGACCUCUCGCCCCAGCCAUGCUUGAGGUCCAUACUUAAUCUGGAAGAAAAUAGCUGACGUGUGUCUACUUUGCAUAAGCACUGUAUUGAUGGUUCAUGCACCAAAGAUUAAUUAAAUUGGCUGAAAACAUUUACGGAGUGAGAAAAACAGGUGAGUUGAGCAAACGAUUUCAUUAAGAUUCUCCCUGGUGAAAAGGUUCCAGUUGAUGGUGUCGUCAUCAAAGGCCAAAGCUAUGUUAAUGAAAGUAUGAUAACUGGGGAAGCAAUGCCCAUUGCAAAGAAACUAGGAGACAAGGUUAUUGGUGGUACUGUAAAUGAUAAUGGUUAAGGCCACUCAUGUUGGAUUAGAAACGGCUCUGUCACAGAUAGUACAGCUAGUUGAAGCCGCUCAACUUGCAAGAGCUCCAGUGCAAAGGUUGUGGUGCCUGCAUUUGUUACAUGGCUUGGCUGGUUCAUAAAUGGGCAACUUCACCUCUACCCUCAGCAAUGGAUUCCUACUACUGUUAUGGUUGCCACCGGAAAAGGUGCUUCUCUAGGUGUUCUUAUCAAAGGUGGCAAUGCACUUCAGAAAGCUCACAAGGAUGUCUUCCUCACCUUCCACUGUAGAAGGGUUAGUAUGAACCACAUUUUUUAAGGUAUGCAUUUAUCUAUCCUGUAGUGUUGAGUUCUCAUGUGUGUGUUAAUCCAUGGUCUGCAUCAAACUAUUUAUUUGCUCAGGACCAUGAAACAUCAAAUGAUGUAUUUAAUUAAUGAUUACUAUGGGUUCUCUAAGACAAAUAGCAUGGUGCUGUGUAUAAAUUUCAGGUUAAUUAUGUUGAACAGGUUGCAUUUGACAUGCUUGCAGAUUUUUUAAAAUUCCUGAAUAUGCACUAAUAACCAGCUCAAGGGUUCUCUAAGACAAAUAGCAUGUUGCUGUGUAGAAAUUUCAGUUUAAGUAUGUUGAGCAGGUUGCAUUUGGCAUGCUUGCACUUUCUGAUGUUUCUCACAUCUGAUGUGUGCUGAAAAGGUCUUCGCUGAUUUUAAGUUGAAUAGUACUAUUUUGUUGCACGGCUCUGAAUUGCCAAGCACGGCUGGGUAAACUGAACCUGAGCUUGAGGACCAGUCAGUUGAUACAAGGAAUUCCUCCUGUGAUGAAUUUGUGUUGAAUACUACUGUAUAGUAAAGAAACCUGAAUACUACUCUGUUGCAUGGUACUACGCCAAAUAGUAAUCUUACGUUUAAUAUCAUUGCUUGCAUGCUUGCAUGCUUGCAGGAAUGCAUGAUACAUACUCCAUAUUAGCUGGUUGGUCCAUAUUAGCUGGUUGGUUCAUGACAAGGAAGUGCAUUGAUUUCUUUGUUCUCUGCGGUGAGAGUUGGUGUGCUGACCACGGCCAUCUCGCGCCUACCUAUUCCGGUGUGCUCGCCUCCAGCAACUCGCCACUACGGCCUGGCGCAAAUCUAGCACCUGCAGAAAUCGAGUCUGCCAUCAAGGAUUG